This 102-nucleotide small nuclear RNA is filed under the name Angiostrongylus costaricensis. The record is from RNAcentral. Lineage: Eukaryota; Metazoa; Nematoda; Chromadorea; Rhabditida; Metastrongylidae.
GAACAUUCCUGAUCAUAUACUAAAAUUGGAACAAUACGAAGAAGAUUAGCAGGGCUUCUGCGCAAAGAUGACACGUAAAUUCGUGAGGCGUUCCAGAAGUUA